GAUCAUGGCUCAGGAUGAACGCUAGCGGCAGGCUUAACAUAUGCAAGUCGAGGGGCAGCAUAAUGGAUAGCAAUAUCUAUGGUGGCGACCGGCGCACGGGUGCGUAACGCGUAUGCAACCGUACCUUUAACAGGGGGAUAACACUGAGAAAUUGGUACUAAUACCCCAUAAUAUCAUAGAAGGCAUCUUUUUAUGGUUGAAAAUUCCGAUGGUUAGAGAUGGGCAUGCGUUG
This 232-nucleotide ribosomal RNA is filed under the name uncultured bacterium. Its description in RNAcentral is "partial 16S ribosomal RNA". It matches the Rfam family "Bacterial small subunit ribosomal RNA", at positions 15 to 238 of the family's 1533-position model. The record is from RNAcentral.